AGUACAAAGGCUGUUUGAAUUGCUCAUUCUCGUUAUCUGAUUAAUCCGGUAUAAUUGAAGAUCAUCUGGUUUAUUCACAUAAGCAGAGGAUAGUCUUUCUCUGUGUGCAUGGCUGAAGAACUUCAACCUGCCUGUGAUGUAAAUGCCAGUAUUCCCUACGGUGCCCUUCACACUGAUGUAUGAACUCAAGACAGGCCCACUUCUCUGCAGAAGAAUGUCCUAAUAUCAAAAAUGUGUCUCUGAUGAAUGUUGGACCAAAGGGAGUAAACAGAACCCAAGACAUCUAACAAAAUGUUCCCCAGAAUUAAGAUGAACACCAAAGAGAAUAGAUAAUUUUAUGGAAACUAUGUUGGUGGGAUCCACUUCCAGCUGUGUGUGUCUGCACACCUCAUUCCUCUUGGUCGUGAGACAAGAACUCAGAACUUGCUGAAAUGCAGAAGUGAAAGAGCAGUAUCACUCCAUCCUGCUGAACUACGGGAGUGAAGAAGCCACAGUAGGACUUUACUAGAAGUGAGGAUUGGAGAACAGAAUCUUUCCAAAAGUUUUGAAGAAGCUUCCAUGUUGUGAGAGAGCAUAUGGAGGGGGCCACGUGGCAAGGAACUGUAGUGGCCACUGAGUACUGAGAGUGCUGAGUGCUGAACAUAGAACCUCAGGGCAACAGUUGCAAAGACAUGAAUUCCACCAACAACAUGAAGGCCUUGGAAAUGGAUUAUUCUCUAGUCCAGGCUCUGAUCACCACAGCCCCAGCCAACACCUGAAUUUGAGCCUUGUGAGACCCUGGAGUAGAGAACUUAGCUAGGAUAUGCCUGACUUCUGCCCUACAGAAACAAAGACAUAAUAAAUGUGUGCUAUUUUAAGCUUCAAGUUUGUGAUGAUUUACUACACAGUAUAGAAAACUAAUACAAUAUUACUUUUCUUUCUGCAACAUAUGUUUCCAUUAGUCUAACUUCCAUCUUGAUUCAACAGAUAUUUUUUGAAUUCUUAUGCCAAGUGCUGUUAAGAAUUUAUCUCACAAUCACAUAGGUCAGUAAAUAGCAGCGACCAGAUGGGAGUUCAGGCCCUUUUAGUCAUUGCUCAGUGAUCAUUCCCUUACAAUAAACAUCUGUGGAUGCACUAAUCCAAAUAUCAAGUGUGUGAUUGCCACAAAUAUUUGAGUUAUAAGAUGUUAGAAAUGUUUAA
Molecule: long non-coding RNA, 1179 nt
Filed under: Homo sapiens (human)
Lineage: Eukaryota; Metazoa; Chordata; Mammalia; Primates; Hominidae
Description: HSALNT0271588
Source: RNAcentral